UGGGGAAUAUUGGGCAAUGGGCGCAAGCCUGACCCAGCAACGCCGCGUGAAGGAAGAAGGCUUUCGGGUUGUAAACUUCUUUUCUGGAGGACGAACAAAUGACGGUACUCCAGGAAUAAGCCACGGCUAACUACGUGCCAGCAGCCGCGGUAAUACGUAGGUGGCAAGCGUUAUCCGGAUUUAUUGGGUGUAAAGGGCGUGUAGGCGGGAGUGCAAGUCAGAUGUGAAAAACUCAGGGCUCAACCCUGAGCCUGCAUUUGAAACUGUACUUCUUGAGUGCUGGAGAGGCAAUCGGAAUUCCGUGUGUAGCGGUGAAAUGCGUAGAUAUACGGAGGAACACCAGUGGCGAAGGCGGAUUGCUGGACAGUAACUGACGCUGAGGCGCGAAAGCGUGGGGAGCAAACAGGAUUAGAUACCC
This 418-nucleotide ribosomal RNA is filed under the name uncultured bacterium. RNAcentral describes it as "bacterial SSU rRNA". It matches the Rfam family "Bacterial small subunit ribosomal RNA", at positions 355 to 787 of the family's 1533-position model. The record is from RNAcentral.